This 672-nucleotide long non-coding RNA is filed under the name Coturnix japonica (Japanese quail). RNAcentral's name for it is "lncRNA (ENSCJPG00005005804.1)". Lineage: Eukaryota; Metazoa; Chordata; Aves; Galliformes; Phasianidae. The record is from RNAcentral.
CAGCCAAGACAAAAGUGUUUUCUUUGUGCUUCAGCUCUGAAGCUGCUGACGUGCCAUUAUUACCUGUAUUGAAGAGAAAUAAACCCCAGGCAGUUUUUAUACUGUGAAACAAAACUUCCACAGCAUGAGACACUGCAAGACAAACUUUUUACUUAAGCUAAAGUGCUGGAAUGCCUGAUUUGAAGUGACUGGAAGCAGUAGAUGUUAAUGAAUUCUCAGUGCCUGUUGCAAAGCUCUUGCUCUGUACUUCAGAGUGUUUUCUUUGACCUUGUCCACAGAAACUAUUACCAGAAGAUGUAUUAAGCUUCACUAAAGACAAAAAGUAGAUUAUGGAGAGUAACCUUCUGUCACCUGCUUUGGUGAACAGACUCCUUCCUCCACUUGCCUGUGCACUGGCUCAACAAACAGUUUAACAAGGGCACUGCUUGUUUUUCACCAGAUCUUAUUUUCUAAUAGAAAACAGAAAUCCUUCCUCUACCCUUUUCCCUAUCCAGCAGUUCAUUAAUUCAUGUAAGUACUAUGUUGUUUCUCAUACUCUGGUUCACAGUCCUCUGUCCUAGAUGUAUUUUAUGAUUACAAGAGCUGCUUCCCCAAGCGUUCAGUAAUGUUUGGUGGCUAUAGACUUAAGCACUUUGGAUGGGUCCCAUAACACAGACAAAAUACGAUUAUAGC